This 447-nucleotide ribosomal RNA is filed under the name uncultured bacterium. RNAcentral's name for it is "bacterial SSU rRNA". It matches the Rfam family "Bacterial small subunit ribosomal RNA", at positions 331 to 793 of the family's 1533-position model. The record is from RNAcentral.
CCAGACUCCUACGGGAGGCAGCAGUGGGGGAUAUUGCACAAUGGGGGGAACCCUGAUGCAGCGACGCCGCGUGGGUGAAGAAGCGCCUCGGCGCGUAAAGCCCUGUCAGCAGGGAAGAAAAUGACGGUACCUGAAGAAGAAGCCCCGGCUAACUACGUGCCAGCAGCCGCGGUAAUACGUAGGGGGCAAGCGUUAUCCGGAUUUACUGGGUGUAAAGGGGGCGCAGACGGCGAUGCAAGCCAGGAGUGAAAGCCCGGGGCCCAACCCCGGGACUGCUCUUGGAACUGCGUGGCUGGAGUGCAGGAGAGGUAAGUGGAAUUCCUAGUGUAGCGGUGAAAUGCGUAGAUAUUAGGAGGAACACCAGUGGUGAAGGCGGAUUGCUGGACAGUAACUGACGCUGAGGCGCGAAAGCGUGGGGAGCAAACAGGAUUAGAUACCCCAGUAUUG